AUCAGUUCUAUAAGAGAGCGUGUGCCGAAGGCCUCGGCCUUUCACAUUCGGGAAGCGUCGGGAUUAGGUGAAAGUACGUAGUUGUCUUUCGUAAGUUAAAAUGAUAAUUGGGCCGAAACUUACUGCCUUACCUAAAAGGCAGCGCAGUCAGGAUAUUGGUAGGUCGGGGGCGGCUUUGGAAACCCUUAAGUUUACAAGCAUGCGCGGACUUGAGUGCUCAUUAGGUCGCCGGGCGUCCACGUGCAGCCCUGGACCCUGAACCCCGGCGUGCGUGGGCCGUGGGCCCUCGGGGAAAGGUUCCGUGCACUCGGGGACUCCGGUGAAGCCUGUUCAGCCGUCUGUGUCAUGUGGCCAUCUUGAGUCUACUCUGUCGCUCUUGUGCCCUAGCACCCCGAGAACCGUCAGUUUGAGCCAGAUGGUGAGUAAUAACCUGUAGCAGUUUGGUUGCUGGUUAAUUCUGGAUUGUGAAUCUCCAUGUAUCUUUGGGACCUGUCAGCCGUGGCAGUCUCCCUUCCUAGCCAUGGAAGAGCAUAUCCUUGUUUAUUGGCAAAGCUGUCACCAUUUAAUUGGUAUCAGAUUCUGACUUGCACAAGUAACAUUCACUGUUAAAAACCUAGAGGGUGCCGGGUUAUUGGGCAAAAUUUCUAAACCGUUGUUCAAUGUUUCUAGGAAGCUGAGCUGAACACAUUACGAUGGAUGAUGGAAACAUAAGACUAUCAAGAAAUCCAAGUGGUAAUGGGCGAAGUUUAUUCAGCAUCCGGCAAUGGACUUAUCGUAGUUGGGGAAACGGGUGUUCCGAAUAAUAUCCUGGAAGUUAUCAGGACACCUAUUUUAAAUAUAGGCCUGAAUUUUGUAAAGUAAUAUUUAAGGUGGUCCGUGAUAAUUAAAUAAAAUGCUUAAUUCAUGUGGCUA
Homo sapiens (human) is the source of this 912-nucleotide long non-coding RNA. Ensembl annotates it as small nucleolar RNA host gene 8. Its record names the gene SNHG8. The record is from Ensembl. Lineage: Eukaryota; Metazoa; Chordata; Mammalia; Primates; Hominidae.